RNAcentral lists this ribosomal RNA (461 nucleotides) under uncultured bacterium. RNAcentral describes it as "bacterial SSU rRNA". It matches the Rfam family "Bacterial small subunit ribosomal RNA", at positions 339 to 796 of the family's 1533-position model. The record is from RNAcentral.
CUACGGGAGGCAGCAGUAAGGAAUAUUGGACAAUGGGCGCAAGCCUGAUCCAGCCAUGCCGCGUGCAGGAUGAAGGACCUAUGGUUCGUAAACUGCUUUUAUACGGGACAAAACCCCCGGUCGUGCAUCGGGGUUGAUGGUACUGUAAGAAUAAGGGUCGGCUAACUUCGUGCCAGCAGCCGCGGUAAUACGAAGGACCCAAGCGUUAUCCGGAUUUAUUGGGUUUAAAGGGUGCGUAGGCGGAUUAGUAAGUCAGUGGUGAAAGCCCGCAGCUCAACUGCGGAACUGCCAUUGAUACUGCUUUUCUUGAGUACGGUUGAAGUGGAUGGAAUGUGUGGUGUAGCGGUGAAAUGCUUAGAUAUCACACAGAACACCGAUUGCGAAGGCAGCUCACUAAACUGUAACUGACGCUGAGGCACGAAAGCGUGGGGAUCAAACAGGAUUAGAUACCCGAGUAGUCC